AACGAACGCUGGCGGCAGGCCUAAAACAUGCAAGUCGAACGCUCUAGCAAUAGGGAGUGGCGCACGGGUGAGUUACAUGUGGGAAUAUGCCUUUUGGUACGGAACAACUUUUGGAAACGAAAGCUAAUACCGUAUGGUCCCUCCGGGGUAAAGAUUUAUCGCCAAAAGAGUAGCCCGCACUGGAUUAGCUAGUUGGUAAGGUAAUGGCUUACCAAGGCGACGAUCCAUAGCUGGUCUGAGAGGACGAUCAGCCACACUGGGACUGAGACACGGCCCAGACUCCUACGGGAGGCAGCAGUUAGGAAUAUUGGACAAUGGGCGCAAGCCUGAUCCAGCCAUGCCGCGUGAGUGAUGAAGGCCUUCGGGUUGUAAAGCUCUUUAGUCCACGAAUAUAAUGACUGUAGUGGAAGAUAAGCCCGGCCUAACUUCGUGCCAGCAGCCGCGGUAAU
RNAcentral lists this ribosomal RNA (449 nucleotides) under uncultured bacterium. RNAcentral describes it as "bacterial SSU rRNA". It matches the Rfam family "Bacterial small subunit ribosomal RNA", at positions 29 to 524 of the family's 1533-position model. The record is from RNAcentral.